UUAAAAUUAUUUUUACUUUUGAUACUUGAGAAUAUUUCAAACCAAAUACUUCCCAAGUAGUAUUUUACUGGGCAACUUUCACAUUUACUUGAGUCAUACUGUUUGCAACUGACUGAUUGAGGACUUUUUCCACCACUGUUUGUUUUGGACAUUUAUUUUUUAUCAAAUGUAUUUGACAGGGACAAUCUACUGUAUUUCUGUAAAUGUGCCAGAUUUAGCCAGCUGGCUUUGUGAUGUAACAAAGGUAGCUGAUGAUGUAAUGAAAACAGACAGUUAAAUAUGUGUGUGUAGAACUGUUGCACAUUUGCUCUGGAAAUGAGGACCAAACCUACUCGUCAAAAGGAGUAGUUGCACCUCCAAUUGAAGUCAAUAAUAAGUUUGAGAGAUCAUCCCGGGCUUUGCCCCGUCUGCUGUAGCUGAGAUGUCCCUGGAGGACAUAGAACAACAAGACUAUGAUGUUUCUGACACUGAGAGAGUCAGAGCCUUGUCCCAGUCUCUAGACCUGCCUGUCUGUGUGGUGGAUGACCACCUGACCUCUGAAGCUGUCAAUGAGAUGGAGCAGAGCAAUUCUACCAGGAGCAGAGCAACCUCAGUGAUGGAAACCACAGAAGAGGGGAAGCUCAACAAUGUGGAACAUCUGACACUGAUGGACUUCCUUCAAAACCUAACUGAGAAG
Oncorhynchus tshawytscha (Chinook salmon) is the source of this 676-nucleotide long non-coding RNA. The record is from Ensembl. NCBI's taxonomy places the organism in Eukaryota, Metazoa, Chordata, Actinopteri, Salmoniformes, Salmonidae.